Molecule: microRNA precursor, 64 nt
Filed under: Myotis brandtii (Brandt's bat)
Lineage: Eukaryota; Metazoa; Chordata; Mammalia; Chiroptera; Vespertilionidae
Description: mir-9242 microRNA precursor family
Rfam family: mir-9242 microRNA precursor family
Source: Rfam by way of RNAcentral
GGCCUCCCUCUGUGGGGCAAUCAAUUGUGGGGGUCCGCAAUUGAUGGCUCUGUAGAGGGAGGCC